This 76-nucleotide transfer RNA is filed under the name Caulobacter rhizosphaerae. Its description in RNAcentral is "tRNA-Phe". Lineage: Bacteria; Pseudomonadati; Pseudomonadota; Alphaproteobacteria; Caulobacterales; Caulobacteraceae. The record is from RNAcentral.
GUCGGCGUGGCCGGGGUCAAGGCGGGGGUGGGCUUGAAGCGCCCGCACUUCUCGUUCCGGGUGGUGACCCUGGCCC